This 411-nucleotide long non-coding RNA is filed under the name Mus spicilegus (steppe mouse). Its description in RNAcentral is "lncRNA (ENSMSIG00000028536.1)". The record is from RNAcentral. Lineage: Eukaryota; Metazoa; Chordata; Mammalia; Rodentia; Muridae.
GGCUUUUGUGCUGGGUUGAGCUGUAUCUUCCCACAGUGGUAUGCUGAAGUCCCUGUUCCCUGUACGACAGGAUGUGACCAGAUUAUUGUGAGACAUUGUUUCUGUUCAGCCGUUCCACUCCUGGGAGCUAAUAAUCUACUCGGAGGCAGAAAGCCUUCAUAGGAAACAGGUCACAAGGCAAGGCAUUACAGAAUUUCAGGACCGUAGAAUCUGUGCCCUGGAGCAGCCAAGCAGUCCUUGACAGUGGCAUCUCCUUAGACACACAGCUGGGUUCCCAGAAAGCCAUCGUCUGGCCUCUCUCCCUAGACUGGCCAUCCAUCGGAUUGAUUAGGGCCCUGUCUCCAAAGACAGUUCCCUUUUGAAGAGGCUUUGACAUAUGGAUGACCCAGCUCAGCCUAUGGUAAGUGAGGA